RNAcentral lists this antisense RNA (75 nucleotides) under Streptomyces sp. MP131-18. Its description in RNAcentral is "ASpks TB sRNA". It matches the Rfam family "ASpks TB sRNA". Lineage: Bacteria; Bacillati; Actinomycetota; Actinomycetes; Kitasatosporales; Streptomycetaceae. The record is from Rfam by way of RNAcentral.
CUUGACCGUGCCCAGCCACAGGGGCCGUUCCGCAUCCCGGUCCUGCCCAUAGGUGGCCAGCAGUGCCUGCGCCUC